UGAGGAAUAUUGGUCAAUGGGCGCUAGCCUGAACCAGCCAAGUAGCGUGCAGGAUGACGGCCCUAUGGGUUGUAAACUGCUUUUAUGCGGGGAUAAAGUCACCCACGUGUGGGUGUUUGCAGGUACCGCAUGAAUAAGGACCGGCUAAUUCCGUGCCAGCAGCCGCGGUAAUACGGAAGGUCCGGGCGUUAUCCGGAUUUAUUGGGUUUAAAGGGAGCGUAGGCUGUUUGUUAAGCGUGUUGUGAAAUGUAAGAGCUCAACUUUUAGAUUGCAGCGCGAACUGGCAGACUUGAGUGCGCACAACGUAGGCGGAAUUCAUGGUGUAGCGGUGAAAUGCUUAGAUAUCAUGACGAACUCCGAUUGCGAAGGCAGCUUACGGGAGCGCAACUGACGCUAAAGCUCGAAGGUGCGGGUAUCGAACAGG
Molecule: ribosomal RNA, 424 nt
Filed under: Verrucomicrobiota bacterium
Lineage: Bacteria; Pseudomonadati; Verrucomicrobiota
Description: Verrucomicrobia bacterium partial 16S ribosomal RNA
Rfam family: Bacterial small subunit ribosomal RNA
Source: RNAcentral